UUUAAAUGUAAAUUUUUGAACUAAUUAGUAAUAGAUAUGAUCUUCAAAUUUAAAGAUUUUGGCGGUAUUUUAGUCUAUUUAGAGGAACCUGUUCUGUAAUUGAUAAUCCACGAUUAACUUUACUUAAUUUUAAAAAUUUGUAUAUCGUUGUUUAUAGAAAAUUUUAUAAGAAAAAUAAUUUUUAAUAAAUUUUAUUAAAUUGUAAAUCAAAUCAAGGUGCAGUUUAUAGUUAAGUUGGAAAUGGGUUACAAUAAAUUUAUUUAUUAUGGAUAUAAAUUUUAAAAAUUUUAUUGAAAGUGGAUUUGAUUGUAAUAUUAUUAAAUUAAAUAAUAUGAUUUUGGCUCUAAAAUAUGU
RNAcentral lists this ribosomal RNA (354 nucleotides) under Gyrinus natalensis. RNAcentral's name for it is "partial 12S ribosomal RNA". The record is from RNAcentral. Lineage: Eukaryota; Metazoa; Arthropoda; Insecta; Coleoptera; Gyrinidae.